GCACAUUCCAGCACAUAAAAUAAAAUAUUUUUUUGUGUUUACACUCACUCUUUCAAAUAGAUGAAAGUAAAACACAGCAGAAAAUAAAUAAAAUCAAAGACUAGCGGUCCUGUUGCUCUAUUUUCACCUGUAAAGCAGGACUGGGUUAGGCGGAGGUUUACCCUGGUGCAGGUGUGCCGCAGCGGUCAGUGGAAGAAUCCGCGAGUUUCUCUGUGAAUUUCCCAUUACAGUCGUAGCGCACUCGGUGCUUGCUUGGAAGUUUAGGGGUUUUUUUCGCUGUAAAAAGAAGUUUUCUUCCCACGCACAAUGGACACUAAUGUUUUUGUUACUUUUUAUGGAAUCAAACUCAAAAUAAGUAUGAGGAAGCAUCCAGUUACAAUCUCUAUCUCACACACGGGAAACCUGAGGACUGUUUAUGGCAUCUUUUUACCCUCUGGCUGUGCAGAGUUUAAGAUGGUACCCAGUGAAACUCCAUCUCUGCAGGUUUAAUAUUUAAAGACUGUUUAGAGUUUGGUUCCCAUAAGAGAUCAGGGUCAUCUCUUCCUCCUGAUCAGCACAGCAGCAUCCUGGCCUGAAUCACAUCGAAGGGAUCUGAGCUGCUCUGACAAACAGGUAGUUCUGCUUUUUUUUCUCUCUUUUUUUACAUUUUUGUAUUUAAAUAUACAUUCAUUUGCAUAUUUUUACACUUUAGUGGAUGCUGUUAUAGUAAAUUUGCACAAGUUUAGUAAAGGAAGCUGAAGAUUUGUUCUGAUACGGCACUGUGAAAUGAGAGAAUCUGAAAAUAAAAAUAGGUCCACACUGAAAGUUUGGGAUUUUCAGUUUUUCCUGUUCUGAAGCUUGCAGCUUAUAGUAGCUUGGAGAGGCUGACUGAAGGAUUACACUCCUUGAGUGAAACUGCUGAGUGGGCAUUUUGACAUCUGCACAUAGUUUGAGGGCGCAAUAGAAAGUUCAAGAUAUAGAUUAAAAUAUUUGAGGAUUUUCAGUUUGUAAGUUCAUUUUUUUUAGCUUUCAAAACUCAACAUGAUCUUUCCUUUUUGUGUGUUUCAGACGUGUCCACUCUCAUGUGUCAACUUAACAGAGAUCAACCUAAAGAAUAGCAGUGACCUGCACCGCAUAUUUAUAUACACAAUGUACGUGAACUCUCCCGGAGCUGAGAGUGGAUCCUAUUCACUGACCUUCCUGGGAAAGAAAGUAGGAAGACAUCGAUCUGUAGCUCCUGCAGGCAAGCAAUUUGCCUGGGAGACGACUGUCAGGUCUGCUUGCCCCGAGGACCGCGUGGUGUCCUCGAGGGCUGCUAAAGUCCCUGUGGCAGCGCAGACGCUGGAAGAGCUACCAGGCAGUGUACCAGAGCUUCAAGAUGAAAGGCCAUGCCCGAUUAUUCACAACACACAGCUUGACCAGUUUGAGAAAACCACAGCAGGUGUUUCUGUGAGGAAAGUUACAACAUGACAACACACCCACAUUCCUGUACGAGGAAUAAAAGAGAGGAGAGGGUGGGAUGGGUUCUGCAUGACACGGAGAAUGAUGAAGUUGUCAAACAGGGCCAACUUGUGGAAUAUUUUAGAUAAGGCUGAGAGUGGUAAAGCUUCGAACUGAAAGAGAAAGUAAGCCAGAACUAACUUUUUAGUUAACUAGAACAUAUUAAUUGUGUUAUAAUCUACUUUUUGAUUGC
Oreochromis aureus is the source of this 1672-nucleotide long non-coding RNA. The record is from Ensembl. NCBI's taxonomy places the organism in Eukaryota, Metazoa, Chordata, Actinopteri, Cichliformes, Cichlidae.